CCUCUCACCUGUGCCUCAGAAACUCUGAUGUCACAUUCCAUCAAAGCAAAAAUUCACUUCAACAUAAAUCUUUAACAAGUGGAGAAGGCGGAGGCCUUCUAAGGCCAUCACGGGCAGAAGAGAAAACAAUCUUUGAUGGAGAGUUUUCAGAGGACUUGAGGCAUGGGAUUGCACAGUGUAGACACGGAUGCAGAGUAAGCCCAGAUAAAUAAAAUCGACAAGUGCAUGAGAGGCCAUGAUGCUGUGAAGCAUGCCAAAGGAACUAUGUCGAAUCAAAAAGGCACAGUGUCACACUAGGGAGAACAAGAGGAGGUGUGCAGGACACCUGCUUUCACUGCUGUGCUGCACGAGAGCCUGAGGUUGAGACGAUGACCUUUGGGACACUCUGCAAGGUUCAGCUGCUUACCCAACCCUUUUCUGCAGUCACCGCCCUGCACCCUUGAAGCAGCUCUGCAGAAAUCCAAGAAGCCAUUCAGAUUCAUAAUGUGUGAGGAUCAUUAGGAGCAAUUCAGUUACCCACAUGCCAGUCCACCAACGUCAAUGGGACUACAAAGAAGCAGGCAAAGAUGGGAAUGCAGCCUAAGGGCUAAGUAUUUCAAGGAAGGAAUCCCUGACUCAUGACCUUAAAGCAGGGAAGCCUUCAUAAAUCACUUCUCCCACUA
Molecule: long non-coding RNA, 662 nt
Organism: Pseudopipra pipra
Lineage: Eukaryota; Metazoa; Chordata; Aves; Passeriformes; Pipridae
Exons: 3
Source: RefSeq, a predicted model, not a curated record